CCUACGGGAGGCAGCAGUGGGGAAUUUUGGACAAUGGGGGCAACCCUGAUCCAGCAAUGCCGCGUGUGUGAAGAAGGCCUGCGGGUUGUAAAGCACUUUAGGUGGGGACGAAGGCUAUUCUGCUAAUAGUAGAGUGGAUUGACGGUACCCACAGAAUAAGCACCGGCUAACUCUGUGCCAGCAGCCGCGGUAAU
Molecule: ribosomal RNA, 194 nt
Filed under: uncultured Aquicella sp.
Lineage: Bacteria; Pseudomonadati; Pseudomonadota; Gammaproteobacteria; Legionellales; Coxiellaceae
Description: partial 16S ribosomal RNA
Rfam family: Bacterial small subunit ribosomal RNA
Source: RNAcentral